AGGAUUCCCCUAGUAAUGGCGAAUGAAGCGGGAACAGCUCAAAUUUGAAAUCUGCGUCGCUUGCGACGCCGAAUUGUAGUUUCGAGAAGCAUUUUCUAGGCGGGCCCGGGGCCGUCCAAGUUGCUUGGAACAGCACGUCAUAGAGGGUGACAACCCCGUCUGUGGCGGAACCGGCCGCUCACGAUGUGCUUUCGACGAGUCGGGUUGUUUGGGAAUGCAGCCCAAAAUGGGUGGUAAACUCCAUCUAAAGCUAAAUAUUGGCACGAGACCGAUAGCGAACAAGUACCGUGAGGGAAAGAUGAAAAGCACUUUGAAAAGAGAGUUAAAAAGUACGUGAAACCGUUGAAAGGGAAACGGAUGGGGUUAGCAAUGCGCCGUGCGAGAUUCAGCCGGGUGUCGUGUCGGGCGGGCGGUUUGCGGAUCUGAAUGGACUGCGGCCGUCCGGUUCGAUGCCUCCACCGUCGCACUUCUCGCCGGUGCGCGCCAACGUCGGUUGGCUCUGGGUCUCAAAGGCGCCAGCAAGGUAGGUUCAGGCCUUCGGGUCAGAAUUGUUAUAGGCUGGCGUCGUAUGGCCCGGGGGCGACCGAGGUGCCGCGGCGUAUGCCUCCUUCGGGUUGGCUAGGGUCCCGUCUUGCUCGCUGGUAGUCGACUGUGGUGGACUGCGUGCAGUGCUUCGCGACUGCUGCCGGUGGCCGGGAUGGUGACUUCGUACUAUGCGCCCAGGACGUUGGCGGUCACAUGGCCUCAUUCGACCCGUCUUGAAACACGGACCAAGGAGUCUAACAUGUGCGCGAGUCUUUGAGUGAAGGAAACUCGCAGGCGCAAUGAAAGUGAAGGCGGCCUAGCCGUCGAGGUGAGAGCUCGUCCCUCGGGGCGAGUGCAUCAUCGACCGACCUAUUCUGCUCUCAGGAAGGUUUGAGUAAGAGCGCAUCUGUUGGGACCCGAAAGAUGGUGAACUAUGCCUGAACAGGGUGAAGCCAGAGGAAACUCUGGUGGAGGCUCGUAGCGAUUCUGACGUGCAAAUCGAUCGUCAAAUUUGGGUAUAGGGGCGAAAGACUAAUCGAACCAUCUAGUAGCUGGUUCCCUCCGAAGUUUCCCUCAGGAUAGCUGGAACUUAUGGCAGUUUUAUCAGGUAAAGCGAAUGAUUAGAGGUCUUGGGAUUAAAACAAUCUUAACCUAUUCUCAAACUUUAAAUUGGUAAGAAGUCCGACUUGCUUAAUUGAAGCCGGACGUUCGAAUGCGAGUUCCUAGUGGGCCAUUUUUGGUAAGCAGAACUGGCGAUGCGGGAUGAACCGAACGCGCGGUUAAGGUGCCGAAGUCGACGCUCAUCAGACACCACAAAAGGUGUUGGUUGCUACAGACAGCAGGACGGUGGCCAUGGAAGUCGGAAUCCGCUAAGGAGUGUGUAACAACUCACCUGCCGAAGCAACUA
Molecule: ribosomal RNA, 1432 nt
Filed under: Verrillactis sp. AY-2021
Lineage: Eukaryota; Metazoa; Cnidaria; Anthozoa; Actiniaria; Sagartiidae
Description: partial 28S ribosomal RNA
Rfam family: Eukaryotic large subunit ribosomal RNA
Source: RNAcentral